CUCUGCAAAGCCAAACUCUCGUAGUAUAUAAAGAAGUAGCUUCAAAGAAAUAUCUACAAAGAGAAAGAUAACCAUUUCAUUACUCUGAACUCUGAUCAACAGAGCUUCAACAAUAUGCGUGAAAUGGAGAGAAAACCCCUAGGGAUUAUGUUCUUUCUGCUCUUUGUCUUAAUUGCUGAUGUGGGUGUGAAGAGAGCAGAGGCAGAUUGUUUUAAACCAAGUGCCCAUUUCAAAGGAGCAUGCUUUCUGAGUGAUGACUGCGCUUCUCAGUGUAUGAAAGAAGGUCAUCCUGGUGGUGAAUGUCAAGGCUUUAUCCCUCGUCGUUGCAUGUGCAUGUGUUAAUUCGAUCAUUAAUCAUGUUUCAUUAAUAAAUGUGUCAGAUCAAUUAGUAUAAUCUGUCACAUAUUUUCCCUUUUA
Long non-coding RNA from Vigna unguiculata (cowpea), 417 nucleotides. RefSeq lists it as uncharacterized. Lineage: Eukaryota; Viridiplantae; Streptophyta; Magnoliopsida; Fabales; Fabaceae. The record is from RefSeq and is a predicted model, not a curated record.